GAUGAACGCUGGCGGCGCGCCUAACACAUGCAAGUCGAACGAUUAAAGCACCUGUGAGGUGUGUAUGAAGUGGCGAACGGAGGAGUAACACGUGUGCAACCUGCCAUCGUCUGGGGGAUAGCCUCGGGAAACCGAGGAUAAUACCCGAUACUUCACGUGAGCCGCAUGACUCAAUUGAGAAAGGGAUGCGGAGACGGAUGGGCAGGCGGCCUGUGGGGUGAUGGGUGGGGUAGAGGCCUACCAAGGCCGGAUGGGUAGCUGGGUUGAGAGCCUGACCAGCCAGAUUGGGACUGAGAUCCGGCCCAGACUCCUACGGGAGGCAGCAGUGGGGAAUCUUGCACAAUGGGCGAAAGCCUGAUGCAGCGACGCCGCGCCGGGACGAAGGCCUUUGGGUUGUAAACCGCUUUCAGCAGGGACGAGGCGUAAGUGACGGUACCGGCAGAAGAAGCCCCGGCUAACUACGUGCCAGCAGCCGCGGUAAUACGUAGGGGGCAAGCGUUAUCCGGAUUCAUUGGGCGUAAAGCGCUCGUAGGCGGUCUGUUAGGUCGGGAGUUAAAUCCGGAGGCUCAACCUCCGUCCGCUCCCGAUACCGGCAGACUUGAGUUUGGUAGGGGAAGGUGGAAUUCCUAGUGUAGCGGUGGAAUGCGCAGAUAUUAGGAAGAACACCGGUGGCGAAGGCGGGCUUCUGGGCCAUUACUGACGCUGAGGAGCGAAAGCUAGGGGAGCAAACAGG
Molecule: ribosomal RNA, 733 nt
Filed under: uncultured Atopobium sp.
Lineage: Bacteria; Bacillati; Actinomycetota; Coriobacteriia; Coriobacteriales; Atopobiaceae
Description: bacterial SSU rRNA
Rfam family: Bacterial small subunit ribosomal RNA
Source: RNAcentral